CCUACGGGCGGCAGCAGUGAGGAAUAUUGGUCAAUGGUCGGGAGACUGAACCAGCCAAGCCGCGUGAGGGAGGAAGGUACAGAGUAUCGUAAACCUCUUUUGUCAGGGAACAAAGACUGGGACGCGUCCCCGGAUGAGUGUACCUGAAGAAAAAGCAUCGGCUAACUCCGUGCCAGCAGCCGCGGUAAUACGGAGGAUCCGAGCGUUAUCCGGAUUUAUUGGGUUUAAAGGGAGCGUAGGUGGGUUGUUAAGUCAGGUGUGAAAGUUUGGGGCUCAACCGUAAAAUUGCAAUUGAUACUGGCAGCCUGGAGUACAGUAGAGGUAGGCGGAAUUCGUGGUGGAGCGGUGAAAUGCUUAGAUAUCACGAAGAACUCCGAUUGCGAAGGCAGCCUACUAGACUGCCACUGACAUUGAGGCUCGAAAGUGUGGGUAUCAAACAGGAUUAGAUACCCGAGUAGUC
This 460-nucleotide ribosomal RNA is filed under the name uncultured bacterium. RNAcentral describes it as "partial 16S ribosomal RNA". It matches the Rfam family "Bacterial small subunit ribosomal RNA", at positions 338 to 795 of the family's 1533-position model. The record is from RNAcentral.